GAUGAACGCUGGCGGCGUGCCUAAUACAUGCAAGUCGAGCGAACAGACGAGGAGCUUGCUCCUCUGACGUUAGCGGCGGACGGGUGAGUAACACGUGGAUAACCUACCUAUAAGACUGGGAUAACUUCGGGAAACCGGAGCUAAUACCGGAUAAUAUAUUGAACCGCAUGGUUCAAUAGUGAAAGACGGUUUUGCGGUCACUUAUAGAUGGAUCCGCGCCGCAUUAGCUAGUUGGUAAGGUUACGGCUUACCAAGGCAACGAUGCGUAGCCGACCUGAGAGGGUGAUCGGCCACACUGGAGCUGAGACACGGUCCAGGCUCCUACGGGAGGCCGCAGUAGGGAAGCUUCCGCGAUGGGCGGAAGCUUGACGGAGCAACGCCGCGUGGGUGAUGAAGGUCUUCGGAUCGUAAGACUCUGUUAUUGGGGAAGAACAAAUGUGUAAGUAACUAUGCACGUCUUGACGGUACCUAGUCAGAAAGCCACGGCUAACUACGUG
This 497-nucleotide ribosomal RNA is filed under the name uncultured bacterium. Its description in RNAcentral is "partial 16S ribosomal RNA". It matches the Rfam family "Bacterial small subunit ribosomal RNA", at positions 28 to 507 of the family's 1533-position model. The record is from RNAcentral.